UACGGAGCGUGCAAGCGUUGCUCGGAAUCACUGGGCGUAAAGAGCGUGUAGGCGGUUUCGUAUGUCUGACGUGAAAGCCCCGGGCUCACCCCGGGAAGUGCGUUGGAAACUGCGAGACUAGAGUCCCGGAGAGGAAGGUGGAAGUCCAGGUGUACCGGUGAAAUGCGUAGAUAUCUGGAAGAACACCGGUGGCGAAGGCGGCCUUCUGGACGGUGACUGACGCUGAGACGAGAAAGCGUGGGGAGCAAACAGG
Molecule: ribosomal RNA, 253 nt
Filed under: uncultured bacterium
Lineage: Bacteria
Description: partial 16S ribosomal RNA
Rfam family: Bacterial small subunit ribosomal RNA
Source: RNAcentral